Chiloscyllium plagiosum (whitespotted bambooshark) is the source of this 418-nucleotide non-coding RNA. The record is from RefSeq and is a predicted model, not a curated record. Lineage: Eukaryota; Metazoa; Chordata; Chondrichthyes; Orectolobiformes; Hemiscylliidae.
GGUCAUGAUCAAAUGGAUAAGGGCUGUUUAUUUCCUGCAAAUUGUGGAACAUCAUGCGUUAGAAGCAGCAAGAGCAUGCUGAACAGGCACAGCUGGAGGCCCAGAAAGUGACCCAAGAUUUUCAACGAGCCACUGAGGUGGUGUGAGCGGCCAAAGAGACCAUUGCUCUGACUGAACAGAGGCUACUGGAAGACAAAGAACGUCAGUUUGAUUCAGCGUGGCAAGAGAUGCUUAAUCACGCAACACAGCGGACUUUUGUUCACAACCAGCCCAGCAGCUGAAUGGCCCCAAGAAGAGGUGUCUCCUGCAGGUCUGGCUGUUUCUGCUUUGGAAAGUGAAUGAAAACCUUGAACCUCACCUUGUCUUUAUCCACUGUCUGAGUCCAGGUGUCUCCUGCAGGUCUGGCUGUCUCCACCCC